This 440-nucleotide ribosomal RNA is filed under the name uncultured bacterium. RNAcentral's name for it is "partial 16S ribosomal RNA". It matches the Rfam family "Bacterial small subunit ribosomal RNA", at positions 338 to 795 of the family's 1533-position model. The record is from RNAcentral.
CCUACGGGUGGCAGCAGUGGGGAAUAUUGCACAAUGGGGGAAACCCUGAUGCAGCGACGCCGCGUGAGUGAAGAAGUAAUUCGGUAUGUAAAGCUCUAUCAGCAGGGAAGAAAAUGACCGUUACUGAGUAAGAAGCCCCCGCUAACUACGUGCCAGGAGCCGGGGUAAUACGUAGGGGGCAAGCGUUAUCCGGAUUUACUGGGUGGAAAGGGGGCGUAGACGGCAAGGCAAGUCAGAAGUGAAAGGGGAGGGCUCAACCCCGGUACAGCUCUGGAAACUGUAGGGCUGGAGUGCAGGAGAGGUAAGUGGAAUUCCUAGUGUAGCGGUGAAAUGCGUAGAUAUUAGGAGGAACACCAGUGGCGAAGGCGGCUUACUGGACUGUAACUGACGUUGAGGCUCGAAAGCGUGGGGAGCAAACAGGAUUAGAUACCCGUGUAGUC